Molecule: ribosomal RNA, 395 nt
Filed under: uncultured bacterium
Lineage: Bacteria
Description: partial 16S ribosomal RNA
Rfam family: Bacterial small subunit ribosomal RNA
Source: RNAcentral
AUACGUAGGGUGCGAGCGUUAAUCGGAAUUACUGGGCGUAAAGCGUGCGCAGGCGGUUUUGUAAGACAGUGGUGAAAUCCCCGGGCUCAACCUGGGAACUGCCCUUGUGACUGCAAGGCUGGAGUGCGGCAGAGGGGGAUGGAAUUCCGCGUGUAGCAGUGAAAUGCGUAGAUAUGCGGAGGAACACCGAUGGCGAAGGCAAUCCCCUGGGCCUGCACUGACGCUCAUGCACGAAAGCGUGGGGAGCAAACAGGAUUAGAUACCCUGGUAGUCCACGCCCUAAACGAUGUCAACUGGUUGUUGGGGAUUUAUUUUCUCAGUAACGAAGCUAACGCGUGAAGUUGACCGCCUGGGGAGUACGGCCGCAAGGUUAAAACUCAAAGGAAUUGACGGGG